CAGUAGCCACGGGAAUACGAAGGGUGCAAGCGUUAAUCGGAAUUACUGGGCGUAAAGCGUGCGUAGGCGGUGGUUUAAGUCCGUUGUGAAAGCCCUGGGCUCAACCUGGGAAUUGCAGUGGAUACUGGAUCACUAGAGUGUGGUAGAGGAUAGUGGAAUUUCCGGUGUAGCAGUGAAAUGCGUAGAGAUCGGAAGGAACAUCUGUGGCGAAGGCGACUAUCUGGGCCAACACUGACACUGAGGCACGAAAGCGUGGGGAGCAAACAGGAUUAGAUACCCCGGUAGUCCCUGUCUCUUAUAC
RNAcentral lists this ribosomal RNA (301 nucleotides) under uncultured bacterium. RNAcentral's name for it is "partial 16S ribosomal RNA". It matches the Rfam family "Bacterial small subunit ribosomal RNA", at positions 509 to 807 of the family's 1533-position model. The record is from RNAcentral.